GCAGAAGAGGACGUGGAGGGAUUGACGAUCAAUUGCUCUAGCUGUGCAAAUUGGCGAUGUGCCUGAAAUAGUGUCGGGAGGCUGGGGUUGUGCCCGACGGACCCUCCAACAUCUUGGUCAUAAUGAUUCUCGGCUGAACCCAACGUUAGUCCAAAGCACCGAGCACGAUCCUGGCCUCCCGACACUGGUUCAAGCAUGUUGCCAAGUCAUGCAGCGAUCCCUCUCGCUCGGUGCCCCGAUCGAUUCUCAACGGCAACAAUUGCCUCUAUAAGAAGUGUCAACUUUUGUGUUUUGAGCAUUCCUCAUCGGCAAUUGUAUUAGUAAAACUACUGUUUAUCUUCUUCCUUC
Long non-coding RNA from Phoenix dactylifera (date palm), 348 nucleotides. RefSeq lists it as uncharacterized. The record is from RefSeq and is a predicted model, not a curated record. Lineage: Eukaryota; Viridiplantae; Streptophyta; Magnoliopsida; Arecales; Arecaceae.